RNAcentral lists this ribosomal RNA (517 nucleotides) under uncultured bacterium. RNAcentral describes it as "bacterial SSU rRNA". It matches the Rfam family "Bacterial small subunit ribosomal RNA", at positions 791 to 1310 of the family's 1533-position model. The record is from RNAcentral.
UAGUCCACGCCGUAAACGAUGAGAACUAGAUGUCGGAAGGGUUUAGCCUUUCGGUGUCGCAGCUAACGCGUUAAGUUCUCCGCCUGGGGAGUACGGUGGCAACACUAAAACUCAAAGGAAUUGACGGGGACCCGCACAAGCGGUGGAGCAUGUGGUUUAAUUCGAUGCAACGCGAAGAACCUUACCUGCCCUUGACAUUGACAGAACCCUUUAGAGAUAGAGGGGUGCUUCGGCCUGGAAAACAGGUGCUGCAUGGCUGUCGUCAGCUCGUGUCGUGAGAUGUUGGGUUAAGUCCCGCAACGAGCGCAACCCUUAUCCCUAGUUGCUAACAGUUCGGCUGAGAACUCUAGGGAGACUGCCGGUGACAAACCGGAGGAAGGUAAGGAUGACGUCAAGUCAGCAUGCCCCUUAUGCUCUGGGCUACACACGUGCUACAAUGGCCGUGACAAAGAGUUGCUACUUUGUGAAAACAAGCUAAUCUCAUAAACGCGGCCUCAGUUCGGAUUGCAGGCUGAAA